UGGGGAAUUUUUCGCAAUGGGGGAAACCCUGACGAAGCAACGCCGCGUGGAGGAUGAAGGUCUUCGGAUUGUAAACUCCUGUCGACUGGGACGAAAACUACCCGACCCAAUACGUCGGGUAGUUGACUGUACCGGUGGAGGAAGCCACGGCUAACUCUGUGCCAGCAGCCGCGGUAAUACAGAGGUGGCAAGCGUUGUUCGGAAUUACUGGGCGUAAAGGGCGCGUAGGCGGUUGCGUAAGUCCCGUGUGAAAUCCCUCGGCUCAACUGAGGAACUGCACGGGAGACUGCGCGGCUUGAGUUCGGGAGAGGGAAGCGGAAUUCCGGGUGUAGCGGUGAAAUGCGUAGAUAUCCGGAGGAACACCGGUGGCGAAGGCGGCUUCCUGGACCGACACUGACGCUGAGGCACGAAAGCUAGGGGAGCAAACGGGAUUAGAUACCCCGGUAGUCCUAGCUGUAAACGAUGAGUGCUGGGUGUAGGGGGUAUCGACCCCCCUGUGCCGAAGCUAACGCAUUAAGCACUCCGCCUGGGG
RNAcentral lists this ribosomal RNA (532 nucleotides) under uncultured Acidobacteriota bacterium. RNAcentral's name for it is "bacterial SSU rRNA". It matches the Rfam family "Bacterial small subunit ribosomal RNA", at positions 355 to 878 of the family's 1533-position model. Lineage: Bacteria; Pseudomonadati; Acidobacteriota. The record is from RNAcentral.